Homo sapiens (human) is the source of this 990-nucleotide long non-coding RNA. Ensembl annotates it as XPC antisense RNA 1. Its record names the gene XPC-AS1. The record is from Ensembl. Lineage: Eukaryota; Metazoa; Chordata; Mammalia; Primates; Hominidae.
AUGAACACCACAGACGGGGUAAAUGAUUUGCCUAAAGUCACACAGCUCGUAAGGGCCAGAGCCCACACUUUCAUCCACUAGCCUAUAUUCUGUGCUGUCAUCACUGAUAGCAGUGACUGAGACUGAGAGACAAAGUCACUUAAGAGCUGAUGGCUGCCACGUGUCCCUGGAAUGCAGAGUGUGCACACAAUCCCUGUGGAACCAACACAGGACACAAAGGUUUUCUUCUCCUCUGCUGUCCAGAGCCUGUGAGAGCUCCAGCUGCAGACUAUCAGGAUGGGGUAAAGGCCGCUGUGCGCAGGCACACUCACGUUUACUACCACCACCAAGCGAACACCUGCUGAGGCUCUGAUCUGCUGUUAACACCAUGUGGGGGAGGGAAGUGUCCAGGAGGGGGCAGUGAACCCAAAGGAAGGCUGCAGAGAAGCCAACUAUAAUAAGCUAAUAAGCUAUCACAGAAUCAAGACACCUGCACAUGGAACAGUCAAAUGAUUCCUGCAGGCAAAGUUCCUCUGGCUUCACUCUUCCUCCCGAGCUAAGAGCUCACCAAAGCCGUGCAAAUCUACUUUCCAAUGAGGCUCAACCCCUCCCUUGCCAAGCCAUUUUUAAUAAGGCACGCCCAUCUCAUUAGUUUGCACCCCCUUCACUCUGUCCAGGGAGCGGCUCCAAUGAGCAAGGGCACCCCAUUUCCUCCUAGUGCAGGUUCAGACCCUUACCCACAGAGGAAUCUGAGGCUGAAUUUCAGCACAGCACAAUGGAUGGAGGUUGAACCUUGCCUGUGCCACUUCCUGGCUGGGCCACCUGGACAAGUCACUUUACCUUCCUGAGCCUCAGUACAGACAGUCCCCAAAGUCCAGUGGUUUGAUUCAAGAUUUUUCAACUUUAUGAUGAUGCAAAAGCAAUAUGCACUUGGGAGAAACUGUGCCUCAAGUACCCAUACAACCAUUCUCUUUUUCAUUUUCGGUAUUCAAUAAACUACAUGAGAUAUUC